GAUGAACGCUAGCGGGAGGCCUAACACAUGCAAGCCGAGCGGUAGAGUUUCUUCGGAAACUUGAGAGCGGCGCACGGGUGCGUAACACGUGUGCAACCUACCUUUAUCUGGGGGAUAGCCUUUCGAAAGGAAGAUUAAUACCCCAUAAUAUAAUGAUUGGCAUCAAUUAUUAUUGAAAACUCCGGUGGAUAGAGAUGGGCACGCGCAAGAUUAGAUAGUUGGUGAGGUAACGGCUCACCAAGUCAAUGAUCUUUAGGGGUCCUGAGAGGGAGAUCCCCCACACUGGUACUGAGACACGGACCAGACUCCUACGGGAGGCAGCAGUGAGGAAUAUUGAACAAUGGGUGAGAGCCUGAUCCAGCCAUCCCGCGUGAAGGAUGACGGUCCUAUGGAUUGUAAACUACUUUUGUACAGGGAUAAACCUACCCUCGUGAGGGUAGCUGAAGGUACUGUACGAAUAAGCACCGGCUAACUCCGUG
This 479-nucleotide ribosomal RNA is filed under the name uncultured bacterium. RNAcentral's name for it is "partial 16S ribosomal RNA". It matches the Rfam family "Bacterial small subunit ribosomal RNA", at positions 28 to 507 of the family's 1533-position model. The record is from RNAcentral.